AAAGACAAACUGGAAGAAAACAGGACUUCCAACCCAGCUGGGGUUCUGGCAUCUUAGGAACUAAUGGGAAUUAAGCCUGUAUAACCUUUUUCUUCACAGUGACCUCUAAACAGUUAACAAAGUUAAAUGGCUAAAUGUGAGAAGUGGUUAAGACAGGGAUGUUUCCUUAAAAGAGCAAGGGCUGGGUGUGCACAGCCACCCUCUGAAAAGUUGUGUUAAAUUGCAGCACAGCAUUUAUCAGCAAUCUGACACACCUCACUACAGCCCAGGGCCUUGCUCUUACUUCUGCUCUCCUCUUACAUCAGCCCAUAAUGGAAAGGUGCUGUUCCAUGUCAGGGUAGGAGUAGCAGCAGUGUCUGCCACCAAGUCUCCUGGUCACUGUCAGGUAAUUCCCAGAAGCCAGCAAGCUGGUGCAGGGCAGAGGGGAGCAUUAAUUUAUUAAUACACAGCCCACUGCACUGGGAGAGAGCUCAUGGCAAACAGAACGGCCCUGGGGAAGAAGAGACUGCUCAGCUCUCUUGCCACUCCUUUUCCCACCCUGCUGAGGUAUCCAGGGCUGGCUCUCAGAGAGGACAGCUGCCCAGGGUGGUGACACUCACAGGAUCUUGAGUAACACCAAGGGACUCUGCUUGUGACAGCCAGCCAGAGAAUGGAGGGAUGGAGAAGAGGGUGUUCCAAACAUGCCCCUCUGUCAUGUUAGAGCAAGAAAUCAACUGAAUUAAACAUCAUACAGAACCAUUGCCAUGUCCUGUGCUCCAAAGAGAGCAAAUAGAGUUGAGGAAAACCUUCAUGAAUGAAUGAAGUUUCUCAAGUGGAUACCUCAACUCCAAGUCUUUACAAAGAAAAAAAACACAAGUAAGUGUGAUUGAAAAGUCUUGUUUCUAUCCCACUACAUUAUCAAAAUUUUAAAUCAUCAAGGCACUGGAUCAUCCAACCAAGACAGAGACAAUCAGAAUUGUAAAGGUGCACAUUUCUUAUUCCAGUAGUUCAAUCCUCCACCAACACAGGAAGGCUUAUGGAAUUUAACCUUAUGGACAUUUGCACUGUCACAUGGGUAUUUUUUUGGCUUUGAUCGAAAGUAGAUACUUCUAAGUAAUAUAAUUUAGUAAAUGAGAAAAAUGGUUUAUUAAAGUAAUUUGGGAAUUGGUUGGAAAGGAGAUUAGUGACAGGUAAUAUAUGUUCUAGAUGAAUAAUUGGCAGCUUUGCAUUCUUCUCUCAUAGCGGCUUCCAUGCAAAGCCCCCACAAGACAGCGCUCCUUAAAUCACGAACAGUAUGUUUGGAGUUGGAAGGGACUUGUGGGGAUCACCUAGUCCAGUUCCCUGCUAAAAGCAGGCUCACCCAGAGCAAGUUGCACGGAGUGAUGUCCAGGCAGAGUUGAACAUCUCCAGAGGAGAUUCCACAGCUUCUGUGGACAGCUCCUGGCAGUGCUCUGUCCUCCACAGAGCCCCUUGCCAGCAGAUCAGGCUCCCACCCGCACGGGUGCAUGGGGUUAUUGUGCCUGAGCUACAGGACCCCACACUUUCUUGUGUUGAGCUUCCCUGAGUGCUCUCCGGCCUGUCCAGGUCUGGCUGAAUGGCAGCACAGCCUGCUGGCCCAUCCUGCCCUUUUGGAACAGCUGGGGUGACACUGGUGUUCCUCCAUUCCUCCUCCAUGACCUUUCAAACACACCCAAUGAAAGAUGCAUCCAAUCUUCCUGAAAAGUUAUUCUAAACAGGAUUUUGGACACAGUAGAGCACUUUUACGGUAAGGGGGAUUGGUAGCGUGGCCAGCCUUCUGUUUGCAGGCUUUGUUUCUGAUCCUCUGGCUGGCCUUGAGCUGCCUGGAGGAUAUGGUGUAGAUCUGUGCACUUGUGACUGAUGUGGCAAUUCCCAUUUCCAGCCCUUGAUUCCUAUUCCUUGUGUGCUAUUCUGUGUUCACAUCCUCUCUCCAAACCCUGGAGAAUUUGUGGGUUCAAGGAUUCUGUGACAAUGAAUAAAAUUACCUUCUGUUAAAGACAAAUACGCUCCAAGUGUGUUGAAGAACCUGGGACUAUGAACUACUUUCCAGCAUCUGAGGGGGUGUUGGCACAUCAUUGUGGGCUCUGGUUUUGGAGGCGCCCUGGCAGUCUCCUGUUGGGACCAAAGCACUGUGUAUAAAUAGUUACAUUCUCUGUGAUGGAGCCAGAUAAGCACAGCAGCAGCAGGCUGAUUUCAGGAUCCACUGACAGGGAUCUGGGAGUCACAAGCAGGAGGUUUUGCUCUUUUGCAUUCAGGCCAGGAAUCUGAGCGUGCGUUCCUUGUGCAAGGUCAGUGCCAGAACUACUGAAUGAAUGAGUUUUUGUCCAGUUUUUCACUGGAAAAUAAUUAGG
Non-coding RNA from Cyanistes caeruleus (blue tit), 2348 nucleotides. The record is from RefSeq and is a predicted model, not a curated record. Lineage: Eukaryota; Metazoa; Chordata; Aves; Passeriformes; Paridae.